AUCUCUGGUUUUUUAUUUGAAUGAGGGACCUUGGCCCCGCCUCCUGCCGUGAAAAAGAGAUGGUCUGAAGUGGUGGCGCUGCGCCUCUGAGUUGCAGUGCGAUGUGUGUUUUUCAGUGGAGCUUCCUCAAUCAGAAAACUGCAAGCUAGAUUAAGCUGCUGCUAUAAAAAUGAACUGCUGCUGCAAAGGUGAAGAAGCACUGCUGGGGCGGUGUUCACAGGAACCACAAGCAGACACUAAGGUUCCAGUACGGCACACACCGGUGAUGAAAGAAUGGAGGCAGCAACAGUACUGGUGGCAGAGACAACACCAGUCGUGAAAAUCUGGAGCAGACGAAGCUACAGUGGCUCAGACAGCAGCCUGCACUCGCAAGCUCCGGGCUCCAGCUCAGACAGCUGGGCUCCGACAACAGAAGCCCUAGCUGCACACACCCUUGGCCUCUGCUUAAUGAUCCUGCUUCCCCAGUCUAGAAUCGGUAGUAGUUACUGCUCAUUCAGUAACCUUCCCUUCCUCUCCGGACUUUCCAACAGCUUCGACCAAUUCCUUCAUUUAAAUCUCUUCUGCUUGAAAUACCUAGAGUGUUUUGUUUUGU
Microcebus murinus (gray mouse lemur) is the source of this 592-nucleotide long non-coding RNA. RefSeq lists it as uncharacterized. The record is from RefSeq and is a predicted model, not a curated record. Lineage: Eukaryota; Metazoa; Chordata; Mammalia; Primates; Cheirogaleidae.